Molecule: ribosomal RNA, 460 nt
Filed under: Baorangia cf. bicolor
Lineage: Eukaryota; Fungi; Basidiomycota; Agaricomycetes; Boletales; Boletaceae
Description: partial large subunit ribosomal RNA
Rfam family: Eukaryotic large subunit ribosomal RNA
Source: RNAcentral
GAAUCUGGCGGUCUUUCGGCCGUCCGAGUUGUAAUCUAGAGAAGCGUUUUCCGCGCUGGACCGUGUACAAGUCUCCUGGAAGGGAGCGUCGUAGAGGGUGAGAAUCCCGUCUUUGACACGGACUACCAGUGCUAUGUGAUGCGCUCUCGACGAGUCGAGUUGUUUGGGAAUGCAGCUCAAAAUGGGUGGUAAAUUCCAUCUAAAGCUAAAUACAGGCGAGAGACCGAUAGCGAACAAGUACCGUGAGGGAAAGAUGAAAAGAACUUUGGAAAGAGAGUUAAACAGUACGUGAAAUUGCUGAAAGGGAAACGCUUGAUGUCAGUCGCGUCGGCNGGGGAUCAACCUUGCUUCUCGCUGGGUGUACUUCCUGGUCGACGGGUCAGCAUCAGUUUCGGUCGCCGUACAAGGGCGAGGGGAACGUGGCACUCUUCGGGGUGUGUUAUAGCCUUUCGUCGCAUGC